This 241-nucleotide long non-coding RNA is filed under the name Sorghum bicolor (sorghum). RNAcentral describes it as "long non-coding RNA (SBIC_LNC010630)". Lineage: Eukaryota; Viridiplantae; Streptophyta; Magnoliopsida; Poales; Poaceae. The record is from RNAcentral.
CUGGGGGUUAUCAGGAAAUAAGGAAGAAAGGCCCACAUGUCAGGUUUACAUAGAGAUAUUAACGUGCCGCGCAAUUUUCUAUCAUCUAGAAGAGUCCAGAAGCCACGGGAACGAACGAGAGGCCGAACGGGCCCGGGGGCAGGGCGCACGCCGUCCCCCCUUGGGCGCCCGCCCUAGUACAAGCACCAAUCACAGAAUGGAGUACACCUUUACAAAGAUCUCGUCGAGCUUAUCGAAAUGC